UGUCGGCCCAUGUACAACGCGUAUUGAAACGCAGCGCCCAGACUUCAACUAAUCUGCCCUCAAUAAAGCUGAAAUAAUUAUCCUAAGCUGCCUUUCCAGAAGAAAAAUCAUUGAGGAAUUCAAAACUUUUUUUAAAAAGAUCUUUUCUACAUUCCGAUGCAGAUCUGGGGGCGCGGCGCCGGGUACACACCACUCAGGAGAGCUCAAUGAGGGAGAAGUGGAAAAAAAGAAGUUGUGGGAGAAUUUAAACGUGAACCCAACUGGAGGCUGGAGCCAAAAUGGUCGCAGGCCCUAAAUCUCAAGCUCGGAUCUUUCUUAGGCCUUGAUCCGACAGUGCCAGGUUUUAAAGGGCCGAGGAGUGCAAACUCGGUUUGAGGGUGACACCGAAUGUUUGGGUUAGGCUAGGGGACUAUACUGGCUCUUUAGCAGGGGGCAGCUCAGGGGCCUAAACUCGCUGACCAGGGCAGAAUAAUGUUCACCCUAAAAGGUAGAUCCGUCGAGCCCCACUUUUGGCGGUCUCUCUCUCUCUCCAAACAUCUUCAUCUGCACCAGGAGUGCUUUUCCGCUCAACUGCAAGGCUCUGGGCGGUCGCUCUUUGCGGGCCCAGAAAGAGCCCAAAGGUUGGGACACAAAAACAGACACUUCAUCUUUUCUUCCGGACCCCUUUCUCUUGUAGGGGGAAGGAUUAUAGACUGAAAGGUGGGAGGGAGAAGGGGCAGGAGGAGGAAGCAGGGGGAGGAAGGAAUGAAAAGGGGGAGGGGAGUGGGUAUUGUGCCGCGUGUGGAGGGGGAGAAUUCCUACGGGUGGGUUUCCGAAUAUUGUGUUCAACUUUUUGAAAGCAGCUCGUGACCCCGAAACUGCAUCCCCCGGAGCCGGGGACCCAGGCGCCAGGCGGGCGGGUGAACCCGGCCAGUCCCUCCCAAUCCCCGCAACCCCCCGCCUCCGAGUGGGGGGGAUCCAGGCCUGGAGGGAGGCUGGGCAGGUGCCGAGGGCUGUGCCGACAGCGCUGAAAUCGAAAACCCUCGCCACUCAUGAAGAACUGAGGCAAAAGGAUCACAGAUGCUGCUCGGGGCCAGCCCUAUACUCCCUCCAGUGCCUGGUCUCCGGUGGACCCGCGGGGCUCUGCAGUUCUCUGGCGGCCGCGCCUUGUAAGCGCUAAGCCGGGAGGAGGGCGCAGGCAGGGCGCACAGCUCUGAGCGCGACCCUACCCGGCUCGGGCCCGCAGCAACCCCGACUGUCCGAGAGCCUCUCCCCAAGCAAGGCUCUGCGCCGCCCUCUGAGCCCACCUCCUGGCCACAACGCUGCCUGCGCUUCUCCAGCCCAGGCCGGAAGCCCUAUGCUGCCUCCCGAAGCCGGACUUUCUGGAAGCCCAUCUUCGUAUGCUCACCAGCCCACCCUCCUACGCUGGUCAGAGUGAGAUUGCUAACCUCAAGACCCCAUUCAAUGCCAGCUUUCAACUACUGCUGAAGACCAAUGUAGGUCCUGGAAUAGAAGAACUGCAGAGUGUAAGUCUAUUUGACCGGCCCCUCCUCCCUUCCCUCCUUCCAUUCGGCUCCACUCCCGAGCCCAGCCCCCUUUCCAUUCAAUGACCCCCUAAACUAAACCCAAGCAUAAACUCCAGGAUCAUCUCUGAGCCGGACCACAGUAGUGCCCAGGUCACGAUCCGUUCUAAGGGCAAAAGCAGCGGCAGAAAAGUCAGGGGCGGGUGCUCU
This 1712-nucleotide unclassified non-coding RNA is filed under the name Mus musculus (house mouse). Its description in RNAcentral is "Six3 antisense RNA". Lineage: Eukaryota; Metazoa; Chordata; Mammalia; Rodentia; Muridae. The record is from RNAcentral.